Molecule: ribosomal RNA, 335 nt
Filed under: uncultured Anoxybacillus sp.
Lineage: Bacteria; Bacillati; Bacillota; Bacilli; Caryophanales; Anoxybacillaceae
Description: bacterial SSU rRNA
Rfam family: Bacterial small subunit ribosomal RNA
Source: RNAcentral
AUGGUUGUCGUCAGCUCGUGUCGUGAGAUGUUGGUUAAGUCCCGCAACGAGCGCAACCCUCGACCUUAGUUGCCAGCAUUCAGUUGGGCACUCUAAGGUGACUGCCGGCUAAAAGUCGGAGGAAGGUGGGGAUGACGUCAAACCAUCAUGCCCCUUAUGACCUGGGCUACACACGUGCUACAAUGGGCGGUACAAAGGGUCGCGAACCCGCGAGGGGGAGCCAAUCCCAAAAAGCCGCUCUCAGUUCGGAUUGCAGGCUGCAACUCGCCUGCAUGAAGCCGGAAUCGCUAGUAAUCGCGGAUCAGCAUGCCGCGGUGAAUACGUUCCCGGGCCUU